This is a long non-coding RNA of Vigna unguiculata (cowpea), 245 nucleotides long. The record is from RefSeq and is a predicted model, not a curated record. Lineage: Eukaryota; Viridiplantae; Streptophyta; Magnoliopsida; Fabales; Fabaceae.
GGAAAUUAGAAGAUCUUAAUGUUGAAAUGGUCACACUUGAACAAGAUCUUAGCAUUCUCAAAUAUCCAUCCAAUGCCUUUGAGCUUUUCCUUUGCUAGAUAGUGCACAUACAUUGUUAGAUGCAAAUGAGCUGAAGAAGCGACUUGAAUAAGGCAAAAUAGUAGGGUGGAGUUAAGAAUAAUCUUAGGACUUCUUUGGUUGUGAUCAUAUAAGUCAUUAAGAAGGAAGUCAAUUAUGGAAGGUGC